Molecule: unclassified non-coding RNA, 218 nt
Filed under: uncultured fungus
Lineage: Eukaryota; Fungi
Description: sequence contains ITS2
Source: RNAcentral
AACGCACAUUGCGCCUCUCUUAAAACAGGGAGGCAUGCCUGUCUGAGCGUCAUUUAAACCCAUGAACAUUGUUCGUGUUGGGUUUCGCCUUUGGGCGUUACCUUAAAGUGAUGGGUCUAGAUUAGCGGACGAGAUCCUUCAAGGGCUAAAACGCAAAUCAGACCAGAUAAUUUUCUGAUUUUGACCUCAGAUCAGGUAGGGAUACCGCCUGAACUUAA